This 1441-nucleotide ribosomal RNA is filed under the name uncultured Bordetella sp. Its description in RNAcentral is "partial 16S-23S ribosomal RNA intergenic spacer". It matches the Rfam family "Bacterial small subunit ribosomal RNA". Lineage: Bacteria; Pseudomonadati; Pseudomonadota; Betaproteobacteria; Burkholderiales; Alcaligenaceae. The record is from RNAcentral.
GGUUUGAUCCUGGUUCAUUAGGAUUGAACGCUGGCGGAUGCUUUACACGCAUGGUCGACCGGCAGGACGGACUUGGUCUGGUGGGCGAGUGGCGAACGGGUGAGUAAUGUAUCGGAACGUGCCUAGUAGCGGGAUGACCAUAGCGAAAGCGUAGCUAAUACCGCAUACGCCCUUCGGGGAAAGCGGGGACCUUCGGGCCUCGUGACCAUUAGGAGCGGCCGAUAUCGGAUUAGCUAGUUGGUGGGGUAAUGGCUCACGAAAAGAUGAUCCGUAUUGUCGAGAGGAUUGACCAGCCACACUGGGACUGAGACACGGCCCAGACUCACGGGGAGGCAGCAGCAAUUUUGGAUAAUGGGGGAAACUGAUCCAGCCAUCUCAUGUGUGUGAUGAAGGCCUUCGGGUUGUAAAGCACUUUUGGCAGAGAAGAAAUGUGGUACGGAUGAAGCACCUGCAAUGACGGCACCGCAGAAUACACCGGCUAACUACGCCAGCAGCCGCGGUAAUACGUAGGGUGCAAGCGUUAAUCGGAAUUACUGGGCGUAAAGCGUGCGCGGUAAGGUUCGGAAAAGAAAAGAAGGAAAUCCAGAGCUUAACGGAACGUAUUUUGACCACUGAGCUAGAGUGUGGUUGUGAGGGAGGUGGAAUUCGCGUGUAGCAGUGAAAUGCGUAGAUAUGCGAGGAACACCGAUGCAUGAAGGCAGCUUCCUGGGGAUAACACUGACGCUCAUGCACGAAAGCGUGGGAGCAAAUGACAUACCCUGGUAGUCCACGCCAACGAUGUCAACUAUUGCUGGGCCUUCGGGCCUUGAAAAGCAGCUAACGCGUGAAGUUGACCGCCAGAGCAUGGGUCGCAAGAUUAAACUCAAAGUGAACGAUUGGGACCCGCACAAGCGGUGGAUGAUGUGGAUUAACGAUGAACGCGAAAACUUUGUCACUCUUUUGAGAUGGUUCGAAUCCUGAAGAGAUUUGGGAGUGUUCGCAAAGAGAACCGAACACAGGUGCUGGCUGUCGUCAGCUCGUGUCGUGAGAUGUUGCUGAGUCCCGCAACGAGCGGCAACCUGUCAUUAAUACAUGAAAGGGCACUGUAUUGAGACUGCCGGUGACAAACCGGAGGAAGGUGGGGAUGACGUCGGUCUCAUGGCCCUUAUGGGUAGGGCUUCACACGUCAUACAAUGGUCGGGACAGAGGGUCGCUAACCCGCGAGGGGGAGCCAACCUGAAACCCGAUCGUAGUCCGGAUCGCAGUCUGCAACUCGACUGCGUGAAGUCGAAUCGCUGGUAAUCAUGAUCAGCAUGUUUGCAGAAUACGUUCCCGGGUCUGUGCAGGGCCACACACCGCCCGCCUACACCACAGAGUGGUUUUAUUGGGGUGGUACAGCCUAACCAGAAGAGGCGAUUACCACUGUGAGAUCAUGACUGGGGUGAAGGCCGUACUACGGUAG